RNAcentral lists this ribosomal RNA (253 nucleotides) under uncultured bacterium. Its description in RNAcentral is "partial 16S ribosomal RNA". It matches the Rfam family "Bacterial small subunit ribosomal RNA", at positions 524 to 776 of the family's 1533-position model. The record is from RNAcentral.
AACGGAGGGUGCAAGCGUUGUUCGGAAUUACUGGGCGUAAAGAGCGCGUAGGCGGAGAGUUAAGUGUGGCCUGAAAGCCCCCGGCUCAACCGGGGAGGGCGGCUGCAAACUGGCUUUCUUGAGGGCGACAGAGGAGUGUGGAAUUCCUGGUGUAGCGGUGAAAUGCGUAGAUAUCAAGAGGAACACCUGAGGUGAAGACGGGUUGCUGGGCUGACACUGACGCUGAGGCGCGAAAGCCAGGGGAGCAAACGGG